AGUGAACGCUGGCGGUAGGCCUAACACAUGCAAGUCGAACGGCAGCACAGGAGAGCUUGCUCUCUGGGUGGCGAGUGGCGGACGUGUGAGGAAUACAUCGGAAUCUACUUUUUCGUGAGGGAUAACGUAGGGAAACUUACGCUAAUACCGCAUACGACCUACGGGUGAAAGCAGGGGAUCUUCGGACCUUGCGCGAUUGAAUGAGCCGAUGUCGGAUUAGCUAGUUGGCGGGGUAAAGGCCCACCAAGGCGACGAUCCGUAGCUGGUCUGAGAGGAUGAUCAGCCACACUGGAACUGAGACACGGUCCAGACUCCUACGGGAGGCAGCAGUGGGGAAUAUUGGACAAUGGGCGCAAGCCUGAUCCAGCCAUACCGCGUGGGUGAAGAAGGCCUUCGGGUUGUAAAGCCCUUUUGUUGGGAAAGAAAUCCAGCUGGUUAAUACCCGGUUGGGAUGACGGUACCCAAAGAAUAAGCACCGGCUAACUUCGUGCCAGCAGCCGCGGUAA
This 506-nucleotide ribosomal RNA is filed under the name uncultured bacterium. RNAcentral's name for it is "partial 16S ribosomal RNA". It matches the Rfam family "Bacterial small subunit ribosomal RNA", at positions 29 to 523 of the family's 1533-position model. The record is from RNAcentral.